Molecule: small nucleolar RNA, 107 nt
Filed under: Gossypium arboreum
Lineage: Eukaryota; Viridiplantae; Streptophyta; Magnoliopsida; Malvales; Malvaceae
Description: Plant small nucleolar RNA R71
Rfam family: Plant small nucleolar RNA R71
About the family: R71 is a member of the C/D box family of snoRNAs containing the C (UGAUGA) and D (CUGA) box motifs.
Source: Rfam by way of RNAcentral
AACCUAUGGUGAGGGCACCUUCUCAAAAGGUCCUUGUAUCUCUCCUACGCCUCAUAGAGUGUUUCUAAAUCUAUCUGCACAAAAGAAGAGAUAUCAUUACGUAAUUU